Molecule: ribosomal RNA, 2654 nt
Filed under: human gut metagenome
Description: bacterial LSU rRNA
Rfam family: Bacterial large subunit ribosomal RNA (bases 1-2303)
Source: RNAcentral
AGUGUAUGUGGUGGAUGCCUUGGCGAUUACAGGCGAAGAAGGACGUCGCAGCCUGCGAAAAGCCGUGGGGAGCUGGCAAGCGAGCACUGAUCCACGGAUGUCCGAAUGAGGGAACUCACCCGCAAGGGUAUCUUGAAGUGAAUACAUAGCUUCAAGAGGCGAACGCAGCGAACUGAAACAUCUAAGUAGCUGCAGGAAAAGAAAUCAACCGAGAUUCUGAAAGUAGCGGCGAGCGAAAUUGGAAGAGCCUGCAAGUGAUAUUGAAUUCGAUACUGGAACGGUCUGGAAAGUCCGGCUACAGAGGGUGACAGCCCCGUACGGGAAAUUGGGUUCAAGGUACUGAGCUUGCGAGAAGUAGAGCGGGACACGUGAAAUCCUGCUCGAAGAUGGGGGGACCAUCCUCCAAGGCUAAAUACUCGUAAUCGACCGAUAGCGAACCAGUACUGUGAAGGAAAGGCGAAAAGAACCCCGGGAGGGGAGUGAAAUAGAUCCUGAAACCGCAUACAUACAAACAGUAGGAGCCCGCAAGGGUGACUGCGUACCUUUUGCAUAAUGGGUCAGCGACUUACGUUCAAUGGCAAGCUUAACCGAGUAGGGGAGGCGCAGCGAAAGCGAGUCCGAACAGGGCGAUAUGAGUCGUUGGGCGUAGACCCGAAACCAGAUGAUCUAUCCAUGGCCAGGCUGAAGGUGUGGUAACACACACUGGAGGGCCGAACCGACUAGUGUUGCAAAAUUAGCGGAUGAGCUGUGGAUAGGGGUGAAAGGCUAAACAAAUCUGGAGAUAGCUGGUUCUCCCCGAAAACUAUUGAGGUAGUGCCUCGUGUAUGACUCCAGGGGGUAGAGCACUGUUAUGGCUAGGGGGACAUGGCGUCUUACCAAACCAUGGCAAACUCCGAAUACUUGGAAGUCUGAGCACGGGAGACAGAGCACCGGGUGCUAACGUCCGGACUCAAAAGGGAAACAACCCAGACCGCCGGCUAAGGUCCCUAAUAUUGACUAAGUGGAAAACGAAGUGGGAAGGCUAAGACAGUCAGGAAGUUGGCUUAGAAGCAGCCAUCCUUCAAAGAAAGCGUAAUAGCUCACUGAUCGAGUCUUUCUGCGCGGAAGAUGUAACGGGGCUAAGUCAAUAACCGAAGCCGCGGAUUCACACUUGUGUGUGAGUGGUAGGGGAGCGUUCUGUAAGCCUGCGAAGGUGACUCGUAAGGGUUGCUGGAGGUAUCAGAAGUGCGAAUGCUGACAUGAGUAACGUUAAAGCGGGUGAAAAGCCCGCUCGCCGUAAGCCCAAGGUUUCCUGCUCUACGUUCAUCGGAGCAGGGUGAGUCGGCCCCUAAGGUGAGGCUGAGAAGCGUAACUGAUGGGAACAAGGUUAAUAUUCCUUGACCACCGCUGAAUGCGAAGGGGGGACGGAGUAUUGAAGAUCAUCCGGGUGUUGGAUAUCCCGGUUUGCGAGCGUAGGAGGCUGACAGGCAAAUCCGUCAGCGAAUCUCCGAGGCGAAGCAUCGAGCUCUCUUUUGAGCGAAGUGAUUGGAUGUGCUUCCAGGAAAAGCCUCUAAGCUCCAGUUCAGCGGGACCGUACCGCAAACCGACACUGGUGGGCGAGCUGAAUAUGCUCAGGCGCUUGAGAGAACUCAGGAGAAGGAACUCGGCAAAUUGACACCGUAACUUCGGGAUAAGGUGUGCCUUUGUAGUGUGAAGAGAGAAACACUCCGAGCAUGAAGAGGCCUCAGAGAAUCGGUGGCUGCAACUGUUUACUAAAAACACAGCACUCUGCAAAGAUGAAAGUCGACGUAUAGGGUGUGAUGCCUGCCCGGUGCUGGAAGAUUAAUUGAUGGGGUGCAAGCUCCUGAUCGAAGUCCCAGUAAACGGCGGCCGUAACUAUAACGGUCCUAAGGUAGCGAAAUUCCUUGUCGGGCAAGUUCCGACCUGCACGAAUGGCAUAAUGAUGGCCACACUGUCUCCUCCUGAGACUCAGUGAAGUUGAAAUGUUUGUGAUGAUGCAAUCUCCCCGCGGCUAGACGGAAAGACCCCAUGAACCUUUACUGCAGCUUUGCAUUGGACUUUGAACCGAUCUGUGUAGGAUAGGUGGGAGUAUCGCGAUUGCAGUGGCACUGGCUGGCUUCGCUACCGUAGCGCAGGCCGCUCCGAAAGAUAAUACCUGGUAUGCAGGUGGUAAACUGGGCUGGUCUCAGUUCCACGACACCGGCUGGUACAACAGCAGCCUGAACAAUGAUGGCCCAACUCACGAGAGCCAGCUUGGUGCAGGUGCGUUCGGUGGCUAUCAGGUUAACCCGUAUGUUGGUUUUGAAAUGGGUUACGACUGGUUAGGUCGUAUGCCAUACAAAGGCGACACCGUAAACGGCGCUUUCAAAGCACAGGGCGUUCAGCUGACCGCUAAACUGGGUUACCCAGUAACUGACGAUCUGGACGUGUACACCCGUCUGGGCGGCAUGGUAUGGCGUGCAGACUCCAGCAACAACAUCGCUGGCGACGACCAUGACACUGGCGUUUCCCCAGUAUUCGCUGGUGGCGUUGAGUGGGCUAUGACCCGUGACAUCGCUACCCGUCUGGAAUACCAGUGGGUUAACAACAUCGGCGACGGCAACACCGUUGGUGUUCGUCCAGACAACGGCAUGCUGAGCGUAGGUGUUUCCUAC